UGCACCAAGUGAAGCACCAGGUAUAUUGAUGAAGCCACCCCCAGGGUUAACAGCAGAAAACAUCACUGCUUUCAGUCCUGCUUCUAGUGAAAAUAAAACGGAAAUGGGAAAACCCCAAGCAGGCGCUGCAAACAAGAUUGCUAUUACUGGAUCAUUCUCUAGCCUACUU
Amaranthus tricolor (Joseph's coat) is the source of this 169-nucleotide long non-coding RNA. RefSeq lists it as uncharacterized. The transcript is spliced from 3 exons. Lineage: Eukaryota; Viridiplantae; Streptophyta; Magnoliopsida; Caryophyllales; Amaranthaceae. The record is from RefSeq and is a predicted model, not a curated record.